This is a non-coding RNA of Malaclemys terrapin pileata, 348 nucleotides long. The record is from the annotation of a RefSeq genome assembly. Lineage: Eukaryota; Metazoa; Chordata; Testudines; Emydidae.
AUGGAUUUCCUCUUCCGAACAGAUGAGAGUGCGGUGCUGAGUGACUCGGUCCGGUCCAAUGAACCCGAGGUGUCCGGGUCAGAAGGAGGCUCCGUGACGCUCAGCUGUUCUUAUGAAACCAGCUACACUGGUGGUGUCUAUCUCUACUGGUACCAUCAGUAUCUCAACCGAGCCCCGCAGUACAUCCUCCGGAGAGGAGCAAAAGGGAGCACGUUCAGUGAUACCGCAGGUUUCGCCCAGCAGAGGUUUUCUUCCCAGGCUGAUGACAGCGCCACAUUUCUGAACAUCACAUCCCUGGAACUGGCAGACACCGCGGUGUAUUACUGCGCCCUACGACUGGCACAGUGA